RNAcentral lists this ribosomal RNA (377 nucleotides) under uncultured bacterium. RNAcentral describes it as "bacterial SSU rRNA". It matches the Rfam family "Bacterial small subunit ribosomal RNA", at positions 523 to 898 of the family's 1533-position model. The record is from RNAcentral.
AGACGGAGGGCGCGAGCGUUGUUCGGAAUUACUGGGCGUAAAGCGCGCGCAGGCGGAUGGGCAAGUCGGGAGUGAAAUCCUGGGGCUCAACCCUGGGACUGCUAUCGAUACUGCUCGUCUAGGGACCGGUAGAGGCCGGUGGAAUUCCCGGUGUAGCGGUGGAAUGCGUAGAUAUCGGGAAGAACACCUGUGGCGAAGGCGGCCGGCUGGGCCGGAUCCGACGCUGAGGCGCGAAAGCGUGGGGAGCAAACAGGAUUAGAUACCCUGGUAGUCCACGCCGUAAACGAUGGGUGCUAGAUGCCGGGGGGAGCGACCCCUUCGGUGUCGCAGCUAACGCGUUAAGCACCCCGCCUGGGGAGUACGGCCGCAAGGCUGAA